ACUCGCACUGACAUUCAUAUAAACUAAAUUCAUUGUGGCACUUAUUCAACUAAUUUCAAUUCGAAUGCAUUCUAUAGGACAUCUUUUUUGAAUGGAGUCAUGCAGAUCUCUAAUGUGACAUGGAGGAUAGAUGGUAAUGACAGCAGCGUGGAUACCAACCAGCAGACGGUGGAGCAGAGCAAUCAUCAUUAGAUCAGUGCUGAAAAUAUAACUAUCUACAUGGUGUAAAUUAAUACAUUUUUUGGCUUCGUGACUGUUUUCUACGCAUAAACACAAAUACGGA
This is a long non-coding RNA of Drosophila pseudoobscura, 283 nucleotides long. RefSeq lists it as uncharacterized. Lineage: Eukaryota; Metazoa; Arthropoda; Insecta; Diptera; Drosophilidae. The transcript has 3 exons. The record is from RefSeq and is a predicted model, not a curated record.